RNAcentral lists this ribosomal RNA (253 nucleotides) under uncultured bacterium. RNAcentral's name for it is "partial 16S ribosomal RNA". It matches the Rfam family "Bacterial small subunit ribosomal RNA", at positions 524 to 776 of the family's 1533-position model. The record is from RNAcentral.
UACGUAGGGUGCGAGCGUUGUCCGGAAUUACUGGGCGUAAAGAGCUCGUAGGUGGUUUGUCGCGUUGUUCGUGAAAACUCACAACUCAAUUGUGGGCGUGCGGGCGAUACGGGCAGACUGGAGUACUGCAGGGGAGACUGGAAUUCCUGGUGUAGCGGUGGAAUGCGCAGAUAUCAGGAGGAACACCGGUGGCGAAGGCGGGUCUCUGGGCCUUACCUGACGCUGAGGAGCGAAAGCGUGGGGAGCAAACAGG